RNAcentral lists this ribosomal RNA (495 nucleotides) under uncultured bacterium. Its description in RNAcentral is "partial 16S ribosomal RNA". It matches the Rfam family "Bacterial small subunit ribosomal RNA", at positions 8 to 526 of the family's 1533-position model. The record is from RNAcentral.
AGAGUUUGAUCCUGGCUCAGAACGAACGUUGGCGGCAUGGAUUAGGCAUGCAAGUCGCGCGAAUCCCCGCAAGGGGGGAAGCGGCGUAAGGGGCAGUAAGGCGUGGAUAACCUACCCCCCGGUCCGGGAUAGCCCGUCGAGAGACGGGGUAAUACCGGGCGACACCGACAGCCGGCAUCGGCUGUCGGUCAGAGGUCCGCCGCCGGGGGCGGGGUCCACGGGGUAUUAGCUAGUUGGUGGGGUGACGGCCCACCAAGGCGGAGAUGCCUAGCGGGUGUGAGAGCACGACCCGCGCCACUGGCACUGAGACACUGGCCAGACACCUACGGGUGGCUGCAGUCGAGGAUCUUCGGCAAUGGGCGAAAGCCUGACCGAGCGACGCCGCGUGUGCGACGAAGGCCUUCGGGUUGUAAAGCACAAAGGUACCGAGGAAGCGAAAGUUGACCGAGGUACAGUAAGCACGGGCUAAGUUCGUGCCAGCCGCCGCGGUAAUUC